This 253-nucleotide ribosomal RNA is filed under the name uncultured bacterium. Its description in RNAcentral is "partial 16S ribosomal RNA". It matches the Rfam family "Bacterial small subunit ribosomal RNA", at positions 524 to 776 of the family's 1533-position model. The record is from RNAcentral.
UACGUAGGGCGCAAGCGUUAUCCGGAAUUAUUGGGCGUAAAGAGCUCGUAGGCGGUCUGUCGCGUCUGCUGUGAAAACUCAGGGCUUAACCCUGAGCUUGCAGUGGGUACGGGCGGGCUAGAGUUCGGUAGGGGAGACUGGAAUUCCUGGUGUAGCGGUGAAAUGCGCAGAUAUCAGGAGGAACACCGGUGGCGAAGGCGGGUCUCUGGGCCGAUACUGACGCUGAGGAGCGAAAGCGUGGGGAGCGAACAGG